AACUUUCAACAAUGGAUCUCUUGGUUCCGGCAUCGAUGAAGAACGCAGCGAAAUGCGAUAAGUAAUGUGAAUUGCAGAAUUCCGUGAAUCAUCGAAUCUUUGAACGCACAUUGCGCCCCCUGGUAUUCCGGGGGGCAUGCCUGUCCGAGCGUCAUUGCAACCCUCAAGCGCG
This 172-nucleotide ribosomal RNA is filed under the name Malbranchea zuffiana. RNAcentral describes it as "Auxarthron zuffianum 5.8S ribosomal RNA". The stretch from base 1 to 154 matches the Rfam family "5.8S ribosomal RNA". Rfam says of the family: 5.8S ribosomal RNA (5.8S rRNA) is a component of the large subunit of the eukaryotic ribosome. It is transcribed by RNA polymerase I as part of the 45S precursor that also contains 18S and 28S rRNA. Functionally, it is thought that 5.8S rRNA may be involved in ribosome translocation. Lineage: Eukaryota; Fungi; Ascomycota; Eurotiomycetes; Onygenales; Malbrancheaceae. The record is from RNAcentral. RNAcentral also lists the same sequence under 2 other names.